This 243-nucleotide ribosomal RNA is filed under the name uncultured bacterium. Its description in RNAcentral is "partial 16S ribosomal RNA". It matches the Rfam family "Bacterial small subunit ribosomal RNA", at positions 15 to 252 of the family's 1533-position model. The record is from RNAcentral.
GAUCAUGGCUCAGGACGAACGCUGGCGACGCGCCUAACACAUGCAAGUCGAACGAGCGAGAGAGAGCUUGCUUUCUUGAGCGAGUGGCGAACGGGUGAGUAACGCGUGAGGAACCUGCCUCAAAGAGGGGGACAACAGUUGGAAACGACUGGCUAAUACCGCAUAAGCCCACGACCCGGCAUCGGGUAGAGGGAAAAGGAGCAAUCCGCUUUGAGAUGGCCUCGCGUCCGAUUAGCUAGUUGG